UUGUAUAGUCACAGCAUGUACAAAUAACAACGUCAAAUGAGACAUAGCCAUAUUCUAACCACGUACUAACUGGGAACUAUGUUCUCAGAAAGGCGAAGCACUGCUACUUCUGCGGAGUGAUUUGCUAGCAGCACCCGAGAAGCCCGGUCACGGAGCAGAGAGUUCUCCUGGAGAUUGCUCAGAGUUCGAGUAAUAGAGUCAACAAUUACUAGAUACUAAAAGCAUAGAGACCUUUUUGUUUGUG
Molecule: long non-coding RNA, 244 nt
Organism: Etheostoma spectabile (orangethroat darter)
Lineage: Eukaryota; Metazoa; Chordata; Actinopteri; Perciformes; Percidae
Exons: 3
Source: RefSeq, a predicted model, not a curated record